UACGGGGGGGGCAAGCGUUGUUCGGAAUUACUGGGCGUAAAGGGCUCGUAGGCGGCCAACUAAGUCGGACGUGAAAUCCCUCGGCUUAACCGAGGAACUGCGUCCGAUACUGGAUGGCUUGAGUUUGGGAGAGGGAUGCGGAAUUCCAGGUGUAGCGGUGAAAUGCGUAGAUAUCUGGAGGAACACCGGUGGCGAAGGCGGCAUCCUGGACCAACACUGACGCUGAGUGAGCGAAAGCCAGGGGAGCAAACGGG
RNAcentral lists this ribosomal RNA (254 nucleotides) under uncultured bacterium. Its description in RNAcentral is "partial 16S ribosomal RNA". It matches the Rfam family "Bacterial small subunit ribosomal RNA", at positions 524 to 776 of the family's 1533-position model. The record is from RNAcentral.